Long non-coding RNA from Mirounga angustirostris (Northern elephant seal), 699 nucleotides. RefSeq lists it as uncharacterized. NCBI's taxonomy places the organism in Eukaryota, Metazoa, Chordata, Mammalia, Carnivora, Phocidae. The transcript is spliced from 2 exons. The record is from RefSeq and is a predicted model, not a curated record.
GUCAGGUCACCGUAGUCCUCCCUACAUUGUUUUUCUAUACGAAGUGAUUUCACUCAUUUUUGUUUGCUGCCUUAUUCCUGAAAUUAUUAAAGAUUACAUCCAUGAGAACAAGAAGACAAGGAAAAAAUAAUUCCUUGAACAACACUUCACAUUUUAGCAGGAAAAAACAGCAUCCGAAGAAAGUGAUUGUGAGUCCUAAGAGGAACACCAGAUGGAUAUUUCCUAUCAGAUCCAAAGGAAGAGAGAAAGAUGAUGAAAAAAGCCUGUAAUUCGGCAGAAAAGUCAAACAAUAAGCUAAAGAAGCCAUUGAGAGAAAUGAGGACACCUACCUCACUUGCAAGACCUGAAUUAAUGCUUCGUGGGAUUUAAACAAACAACAACAGAAAGAACACACCCAAAGUGACCUGUGUGGAAAGCGUUGUCCUCUGGCCAAAUACUGAUUUAAAAAAAAAAAAAAAAGCAAACAGAACAUUUAGGGGGAAACUUGAGAAUGUACUGGAGUUUAAUGAUGAUACAUCUCAACUUGCAGAAAGUGGAAGAGUGGAUUCAAAUGAUGAUAUACUCUGUAAAGUACGUGGGUAUGCUCUGUACAAUGACCACACAGUAGCUAUGUUAUUGGGCAAUGUACAUAACCUACUGGUGCCUUAAAAUCCUCAUAAAAUUGGGAUAAAGAGAGAUGCCUCAUAACGUUUUUGUUUA